UACAGAGGUCUCAAGCGUUGUUCGGAUUCAUUGGGCGUAAAGAGCGCGCAGGCGGUCGUUCAAGUCGCGUGUGAAAGCCCCCGGCUCAACUGGGGAGGGUCACGCGAUACUGAUCGACUCGAAGGCAGGAGAGGGAAGUGGAAUUCCCGGUGUAGUGGUGAAAUGCGUAGAUAUCGGGAGGAACACCAGUGGCGAAGGCGACUUCCUGGCCUGUUCUUGACGCUGAGGCGCGAAAGCCAGGGGAGCAAACGGG
RNAcentral lists this ribosomal RNA (253 nucleotides) under uncultured bacterium. Its description in RNAcentral is "partial 16S ribosomal RNA". It matches the Rfam family "Bacterial small subunit ribosomal RNA", at positions 524 to 776 of the family's 1533-position model. The record is from RNAcentral.